GGCCACAUCUCGUUGAAAAGAGCACAUUAUAUACGAUCACUGAAGUUAAGCAACGUCGAGCCUGGGCAAUACCUAGAUGGGUGACUGCUUGGGAAUACCAGGUGCUAUA
Non-coding RNA from Acanthosepion pharaonis, 109 nucleotides. Lineage: Eukaryota; Metazoa; Mollusca; Cephalopoda; Sepiida; Sepiidae. The record is from the annotation of a GenBank genome assembly.